GUCUAAGGUCUUAUGGCCAGUU
This 22-nucleotide unclassified non-coding RNA is filed under the name Mus musculus (house mouse). RNAcentral's name for it is "oocyte_clustered_small_RNA2574". Lineage: Eukaryota; Metazoa; Chordata; Mammalia; Rodentia; Muridae. The record is from RNAcentral.